RNAcentral lists this unclassified non-coding RNA (614 nucleotides) under Paecilomyces variotii. RNAcentral's name for it is "sequence contains 18S rRNA gene, ITS1, 5.8S rRNA gene, ITS2, 28S rRNA gene". The stretch from base 229 to 382 matches the Rfam family "5.8S ribosomal RNA". The record is from RNAcentral. Lineage: Eukaryota; Fungi; Ascomycota; Eurotiomycetes; Eurotiales; Thermoascaceae.
UCGUAACAAGGUUUCCGUAGGUGAACCUGCGGAAGGAUCAUUACCGAGUGAGGGUCCCUCGGGGCCCAACCUCCCAUCCGUGUUGUCCUGACACCUGUUGCUUCGGCGGGCCCGCCGUGGUUCACGCCCCGGCCGCCGGGGGGUUCACGCCCCCGGGCCCGCGCCCGCCGAAGACCCCUGGAACGCUGCCUGGAAGGUUGCCGUCUGAGUAUACAAUCAAUCAAUUAAAACUUUCAACAACGGAUCUCUUGGUUCCGGCAUCGAUGAAGAACGCAGCGAAAUGCGAUAAGUAAUGUGAAUUGCAGAAUUCCGUGAAUCAUCGAAUCUUUGAACGCACAUUGCGCCCCCUGGCAUUCCGGGGGGCAUGCCUGUCCGAGCGUCAUUGCUAACCCUCCAGCCCGGCUGGUGUGUUGGGCCGCCGUCCCCCCCCCGGGGGACGGGCCCGAAAGGCAGCGGCGGCGUCGCGUCCGGUCCUCGAGCGUAUGGGGCUUUGUCACACGCUUCAGUAGAACCGGCCGGCUUGCUGGCCACACGACCUUCACGGUCACCUAUAUUUCUCUUAGGUUGACCUCGGAUCAGGUAGGGAUACCCGCUGAACUUAAGCAUAUCAAUAA